This is a long non-coding RNA of Alnus glutinosa, 536 nucleotides long. RefSeq lists it as uncharacterized. The record is from RefSeq and is a predicted model, not a curated record. The transcript is spliced from 4 exons. NCBI's taxonomy places the organism in Eukaryota, Viridiplantae, Streptophyta, Magnoliopsida, Fagales, Betulaceae.
CUGCUUCUUUGUUCCGCUUUUUCUUCCUCUCUUUUUUUCUUGCUUUACAAUAAACUCAACACAGCCACGGGGAUUUGAACCGCAAUCCUUCCUUCUCCGCUGACUUCCUUCUUUUCGUUCUUUUCUUUUCUUCCACUGAGAGAGGGAGAUUGGAGAGGGAGGCCGAGAGAGCUGGAAAGAGAACUGGAGAGAACCUGAGAGAGACACGAGGUGGACUAGCCACUGUUGGGGGUGGACAACGGCGCCGGAGGCCAGUGGGUCAUGGCCCGACGCCGGUAAAGCCAAGGGACGUCUUUUUCCGGCGUUUUCUCGGCACCCAAACAUGGAGAAAUUCAUUUUUCGGGAUAUCAUUUUUUGCAAGUGUAUCGAGUAGCACAUGCAUUGUGGAGCCAAGGACGCAAAGUAUUGGCCUUGGCACUACAAAGCCGAAUAAGUGAGGUUUUUGGAGUUGACAUACAUCCAGCUGCAAAAAUUGGAGAGGGAAUAUCAUUGGAUCAUGGGACAGGUGUGGUUAUUAGUGAAACUGCAGUUGUAGG